Molecule: ribosomal RNA, 519 nt
Filed under: uncultured Actinomycetes bacterium
Lineage: Bacteria; Bacillati; Actinomycetota; Actinomycetes
Description: SSU rRNA
Rfam family: Bacterial small subunit ribosomal RNA
Source: RNAcentral
CAGCUUGUUGGUGGGGUAAUGGCCUACCAAGGCGACGACGGGUAGCCGGCCUGAGAGGGCGACCGGCCACACUGGGACUGAGACACGGCCCAGACUCCUACGGGAGGCAGCAGUGGGGAAUAUUGCACAAUGGGCGAAAGCCUGAUGCAGCGACGCCGCGUGAGGGAUGACGGCCUUCGGGUUGUAAACCUCUUUCAGCAGGGAAGAAGCGCAAGUGACGGUACCUGCAGAAGAAGCACCGGCUAACUACGUGCCAGCAGCCGCGGUAAUACGUAGGGUGCGAGCGUUGUCCGGAAUUAUUGGGCGUAAAGAGCUCGUAGGCGGCUUGUCGCGUCGGAUGUGAAAGCCCGGGGCUUAACCCCGGGUCUGCAUUCGAUACGGGCAGGCUAGAGUGUGGUAGGGGAGAUCGGAAUUCCUGGUGUAGCGGUGAAAUGCGCAGAUAUCAGGAGGAACACCGGUGGCGAAGGCGGAUCUCUGGGCCAUUACUGACGCUGAGGAGCGAAAGCGUGGGGAGCGAAC